UUUCUUAUUAUAAAGCACAUGCAUUAACCAGAGUGUGUGUGAGCAGCUGUUCGGGUUGUCCCUUUCACAGCAGUAGUGCACAGUGUUUCAAGUGGGGUUUCGGACUCAACAGACAUCCUAGUAAUCACUAAUGAUCCUUCCGCAGGUUCACCUACGGAAA
RNAcentral lists this unclassified non-coding RNA (160 nucleotides) under uncultured fungus. RNAcentral describes it as "sequence contains ITS1". The record is from RNAcentral. Lineage: Eukaryota; Fungi.